GGGGAAUAUUGCACAAUGGGCGAAAGCCUGAUGCAGCAACGCCGCGUGAGUGAUGAAGGUUUUCGGAUCGUAAAGCUCUGUCUUCUGGGAAGAUAAUGACGGUACCAGAGGAGGAAGCCACGGCUAACUACGUGCCAGCAGCCGCGGUAAUACGUAGGUGGCGAGCGUUGUCCGGAUUUACUGGGCGUAAAGGGUGCGUAGGCGGAUGUUUAAGUGAGAUGUGAAAUACCUGGGCUUAACCCGGGGGCUGCAUUUCAAACUGGACAUCUGGAGUGCAGGAGAGGAGAAUGGAAUUCCUAGUGUAGCGGUGAAAUGCGUAGAGAUUAGGAAGAACACCAGUGGCGAAGGCGAUUCUCUGGACUGUAACUGACGCUGAGGCACGAAAGCGUGGGUAGCAAAC
RNAcentral lists this ribosomal RNA (400 nucleotides) under uncultured bacterium. Its description in RNAcentral is "bacterial SSU rRNA". It matches the Rfam family "Bacterial small subunit ribosomal RNA", at positions 356 to 773 of the family's 1533-position model. The record is from RNAcentral.